This 999-nucleotide ribosomal RNA is filed under the name Microbacterium sp. 170702P4. RNAcentral describes it as "bacterial SSU rRNA". It matches the Rfam family "Bacterial small subunit ribosomal RNA", at positions 363 to 1372 of the family's 1533-position model. Lineage: Bacteria; Bacillati; Actinomycetota; Actinomycetes; Micrococcales; Microbacteriaceae. The record is from RNAcentral.
AUUGCACAAUGGGCGCAAGCCUGAUGCAGCAACGCCGCGUGAGGGACGACGGCCUUCGGGUUGUAAACCUCUUUUAGCAGGGAAGAAGCGAAAGUGACGGUACCUGCAGAAAAAGCGCCGGCUAACUACGUGCCAGCAGCCGCGGUAAUACGUAGGGCGCAAGCGUUAUCCGGAAUUAUUGGGCGUAAAGAGCUCGUAGGCGGUUUGUCGCGUCUGCUGUGAAAUCCGGAGGCUCAACCUCCGGCCUGCAGUGGGUACGGGCAGACUAGAGUGCGGUAGGGGAGAUUGGAAUUCCUGGUGUAGCGGUGGAAUGCGCAGAUAUCAGGAGGAACACCGAUGGCGAAGGCAGAUCUCUGGGCCGUAACUGACGCUGAGGAGCGAAAGGGUGGGGAGCAAACAGGCUUAGAUACCCUGGUAGUCCACCCCGUAAACGUUGGGAACUAGUUGUGGGGUCCAUUCCACGGAUUCCGUGACGCAGCUAACGCAUUAAGUUCCCCGCCUGGGGAGUACGGCCGCAAGGCUAAAACUCAAAGGAAUUGACGGGGACCCGCACAAGCGGCGGAGCAUGCGGAUUAAUUCGAUGCAACGCGAAGAACCUUACCAAGGCUUGACAUAUACGAGAACGGGCCAGAAAUGGUCAACUCUUUGGACACUCGUAAACAGGUGGUGCAUGGUUGUCGUCAGCUCGUGUCGUGAGAUGUUGGGUUAAGUCCCGCAACGAGCGCAACCCUCGUUCUAUGUUGCCAGCACGUAAUGGUGGGAACUCAUGGGAUACUGCCGGGGUCAACUCGGAGGAAGGUGGGGAUGACGUCAAAUCAUCAUGCCCCUUAUGUCUUGGGCUUCACGCAUGCUACAAUGGCCGGUACAAAGGGCUGCAAUACCGCGAGGUGGAGCGAAUCCCAAAAAGCCGGUCCCAGUUCGGAUUGAGGUCUGCAACUCGACCUCAUGAAGUCGGAGUCGCUAGUAAUCGCAGAUCAGCAACGCUGCGGUGAAUACGUU